GACAGAGGCCUCGAGCGUUAGGCGGAAUCACUGGGCUUAAAGCGUGUGUAGGCGGUUUUCUAAGUUUGGUGUGAAAUCUCCCGGCUUAACUGGGAGGGUGCGCCGAAAACUGGAAGGCUUGAGUAUGGGAGAGGUAAGCGGAAUUCCUGGUGUAGCGGUGAAAUGCGUAGAUAUCAGGAGGAACACCUGCGGUGUAGACGGCUUACUGGACCAUAACUGACGCUGAGGCACGAAAGCGUGGGUAGCAAACAGG
RNAcentral lists this ribosomal RNA (253 nucleotides) under uncultured bacterium. Its description in RNAcentral is "partial 16S ribosomal RNA". It matches the Rfam family "Bacterial small subunit ribosomal RNA", at positions 524 to 776 of the family's 1533-position model. The record is from RNAcentral.